Molecule: ribosomal RNA, 765 nt
Filed under: Escherichia coli
Lineage: Bacteria; Pseudomonadati; Pseudomonadota; Gammaproteobacteria; Enterobacterales; Enterobacteriaceae
Description: partial 23S ribosomal RNA
Rfam family: Bacterial large subunit ribosomal RNA
Source: RNAcentral
CAGUGAAAUUGAACUCGCUGUGAAGAUGCAGUGUACCCGCGGCAAGACGGAAAGACCCCGUGAACCUUUACUAUAGCUUGACACUGAACAUUGAGCCUUGAUGUGUAGGAUAGGUGGGAGGCUUAGAAGUGUGGACGCCAGUCUGCAUGGAGCCGACCUUGAAAUACCACCCUUUAAUGUUUGAUGUUCUAACGUUGACCCGUAAUCCGGGUUGCGGACAGUGUCUGGUGGGUAGUUUGACUGGGGCGGUCUCCUCCUAAAGAGUAACGGAGGAGCACGAAGGUUGGCUAAUCCUGGUCGGACAUCAGGAGGUUAGUGCAAUGGCAUAAGCCAGCUUGACUGCGAGCGUGACGGCGCGAGCAGGUGCGAAAGCAGGUCAUAGUGAUCCGGUGGUUCUGAAUGGAAGGGCCAUCGCUCAACGGAUAAAAGGUACUCCGGGGAUAACAGGCUGAUACCGCCCAAGAGUUCAUAUCGACGGCGGUGUUUGGCACCUCGAUGUCGGCUCAUCACAUCCUGGGGCUGAAGUAGGUCCCAAGGGUAUGGCUGUUCGCCAUUUAAAGUGGUACGCGAGCUGGGUUUAGAACGUCGUGAGACAGUUCGGUCCCUAUCUGCCGUGGGCGCUGGAGAACUGAGGGGGGCUGCUCCUAGUACGAGAGGACCGGAGUGGACGCAUCACUGGUGUUCGGGUUGUCAUGCCAAUGGCACUGCCCGGUAGCUAAAUGCGGAAGAGAUAAGUGCUGAAAGCAUCUAAGCACGAAACUUGCC